RNAcentral lists this ribosomal RNA (331 nucleotides) under uncultured fungus. Its description in RNAcentral is "eukaryotic LSU rRNA". The record is from RNAcentral. Lineage: Eukaryota; Fungi.
UUUGAAAGGGAAACGAUUGAAGUCAGUCGUACCUUCGGGUAAUCAGCCUUUCGAGUGCGAUUCUGUGGAGCGUGAGGGGUUAAACGCCUUCAUGCCUGCAUAUUCGUGCACUUUGGGUGUAUUUGCCCGUGUGGUAGGUUAACAUCAAUUUCGGAUGUCAUAAAAUGGCUGGAGGAAUGUAGCUUCGGUCUCGUAUUGAAGUGUUAUAGCCUCUGGUAGAUGUGAUGACCGGGAUUGAGGAUUGCAACGAAUACCUUUUGGGCUAUCCGCCUGAUCUCUGAAAGUUGCUCUGGUACCGAAAGCGUGCUUACGGUUAUCAAAGUUGACGUUC